This 519-nucleotide ribosomal RNA is filed under the name Triticum aestivum (bread wheat). RNAcentral's name for it is "partial small subunit ribosomal RNA". Lineage: Eukaryota; Viridiplantae; Streptophyta; Magnoliopsida; Poales; Poaceae. The record is from RNAcentral.
AUGACGCGCGGCGAUUGGAACGGCUCCAAUGUCCACGACGGCCACCUCGACUUCCUCCGCGUGAUGCGGAGGCUUCCCAUUGCGACGAUGGUGGGGACGCACCUUCCCGACGCGAGGGAGAUCUCGCCGACACCGAGGGCCGGCGAGUUCGUCGUCUUCCGGAGCAAUUUCCUUAGCGGAUUUGGCUUGCCUGCAAUCGGCUUCCUCCGCUCUUUUCUUGAUUUCUACCAUCUUCAACCUCACCACCUUACUCCAAACACGGUGGUGCUCCUCUCCGCCUUCGUGACCCUCUGCGAGGGCUACCUCGGCGUCCUGCCCACCAUCGAGCUGUGGGGCAAGUUUUUUUAUCUGAAGCUGGGGACCCAGGCCAAGGGCGAGCCGGCCCAGUGCGGCGCACGGGCUCCGGGACCCGCUUUCCUCCUAUCGCCCUGUUGGAGUCGGCGAAGUUGUGGCAGAAGUCCUACUAUGUCCGCAACCUCCACCCGACGCGCGACUACAUCAACCUGCUGGCUUACGUAG